Long non-coding RNA from Cryptomeria japonica (Japanese cedar), 481 nucleotides. RefSeq lists it as uncharacterized. The record is from RefSeq and is a predicted model, not a curated record. NCBI's taxonomy places the organism in Eukaryota, Viridiplantae, Streptophyta, Pinopsida, Cupressales, Cupressaceae. The transcript is spliced from 3 exons.
CCGUCGCCAUGAGUUUCACUCUAGCAGUUACAGGGCAAAAUAUUGUCGGAUUCUGGUUAUGGGUUUUUGGUAUGACAAUCCGCAAGGUUAAACGAGUCGAAUGGUGGUCUUAGUUGCCGAUUUCAAUGGGAUUUUGUGCAGAUAUUUAGGAUUUCAUUCUCCGGUACAUCUCUUCAAAAGAACAGAUCCUUCAUGCAAUCGUUUGACAAGGUUUAGCAGCAGAAAAUAAAUGGAGAACAAAGAAGGACCAAGAAAGAAAAAGGAUGCAAGAAGAUCGUGAUUCUGUAUACUGCAAAAGACUUAAAAGCUGGGAAAACUAAUUGGAAAAAGGAUGCAAGAAGAUCGUGAUUCUGUAUACUGCAAAAGACUCAAAAGCUGGGAAAACUAAUUGGAUGAUGCAUCAGUACCAUCUUGGUACUGAGAAGGCUGAAAAGGAAGGCGUGUUCGUUGUGUCAAAAGUAUAACCCCACUUCCUUCUCGU